GACGAACGCUGGCGGCGUGCCUAAUACAUGCAAGUAGAACGCUGAAGGAGGAGCUUGCUUCCCCGGAUGAGUUGCGAACGGGUGAGUAACGCGUAGGUAACCUGCCUGGUAGCGGGGGAUAACUAUUGGAAACGAUAGCUAAUACCGCAUAAAAGUAGAUGUUGCAUGACAUUUGCUUAAAAGGUACAAUUGCAUCACUACCAGAUGGACCUGCGUUGUAUUAGCUAGUUGGUGGGGUAACGGCUCACCAAGGCGACGAUACAUAGCCGACCUGAGAGGGUGAUCGGCCACACUGGGACUGAGACACGGCCCAGACUCCUGCGGGAGGCAGCAGUAGGGAAUCUUCGGCAAUGGACGGAAGUCUGACCGAGCAACGCCGCGUGAGUGAAGAAGGUUUUCGGAUCGUAAAGCUCUGUUGUAAGAGAAGAACGAGUGUGAGAGUGGAAAGUUCACACUGUGACGGUACCUUACCAGAAAGGGACGGCUAACUACGUGC
Molecule: ribosomal RNA, 496 nt
Filed under: uncultured Streptococcus sp.
Lineage: Bacteria; Bacillati; Bacillota; Bacilli; Lactobacillales; Streptococcaceae
Description: bacterial SSU rRNA
Rfam family: Bacterial small subunit ribosomal RNA
Source: RNAcentral